CGUGGGUGGGAGUGAGUGGCGAACGGGUGAGUAACACGUGAGUAACCUGCCCCCUUCUUUGGGAUAACGCCCGGAAACGGGUGCUAAUACUGGAUAUUCACUUGCCUUCGCAUGGGGGUUGGUGGAAAGGGUUUUUUCUGGUGGGGGAUGGGCUCGCGGCCUAUCAGCUUGUUGGUGGGGUGAUGGCCUACCAAGGCUUUGACGGGUAGCCGGCCUGAGAGGGUGACCGGUCACAUUGGGACUGAGAUACGGCCCAG
This 257-nucleotide ribosomal RNA is filed under the name uncultured bacterium. RNAcentral describes it as "partial 16S ribosomal RNA". It matches the Rfam family "Bacterial small subunit ribosomal RNA", at positions 80 to 334 of the family's 1533-position model. The record is from RNAcentral.